This 501-nucleotide ribosomal RNA is filed under the name uncultured bacterium. RNAcentral's name for it is "bacterial SSU rRNA". It matches the Rfam family "Bacterial small subunit ribosomal RNA", at positions 28 to 529 of the family's 1533-position model. The record is from RNAcentral.
GAUGAACGCUAGCGGCAGGCUUAACACAUGCAAGUCGAGGGGCAGCACGUCUUCGGAUGGUGGCGACCGGCGCACGGGUGCGUAACGCGUAUACAAUCUACCUUUUACAGGGGCAUAGCCCGGGGAAACCCGGAUUAAUAUCCCAUGGUAUGUAGAGAUGGCAUCAUCUCUUCAUUAAAGUUUCGGCGGUAAAAGAUGAGUAUGCGUCCUAUUAGCUAGAUGGUAAGGUAACGGCUUACCAUGGCUACGACAGGUAGGGGUCCUGAGAGGGAGAUCCCCCACACUGGUACUGAGACACGGACCAGACUCCUACGGGAGGCAGCAGUGAGGAAUAUUGGACAAUGGGCGAGAGCCUGAUCCAGCCAUGCCGCGUGCAGGAAGACUGCCCUAUGGGUUGUAAACUGCUUUUAUACGGGAAGAAACACCCCACGUNUGGGGGCUUGACGGUACCGUAUGAAUAAGGAUCGGCUAACUCCGUGCCAGCAGCCGCGGUAAUACGGG